UGAGGAAUAUUGGUCAAUGGGCGCAAGCCUGAACCAGCCAUCCCGCGUGCAGGAAGACGGCCCUAUGGGUUGUAAACUGCUUUUCCAGGGGGAGAAUUUUUCUGUCGUGACAGGAAUUGACGGUACCCUGGGAAUAAGCAUCGGCUAACUCCGUGCCAGCAGCCGCGGUAAUACGGAGGAUGCGAGCGUUAUCCGGAUUUAUUGGGUUUAAAGGGUGCGUAGGCGGAUUGAUAAGUCAGUGGUGAAAACCUGCAGCUUAACUGUAGACUUGCCGUUGAUACUGUCAGUCUUGAGUGUGGUCAAGGUAGGCGGAAUGUGUAAUGUAGCGGUGAAAUGCUUAGAUAUUACACAGAACACCGAUUGCGAAGGCAGCUUACUGGGCCAUUACUGACGCUGAUGC
Molecule: ribosomal RNA, 400 nt
Filed under: uncultured bacterium
Lineage: Bacteria
Description: bacterial SSU rRNA
Rfam family: Bacterial small subunit ribosomal RNA
Source: RNAcentral